AUGAACGCUGGCGGCGUGCCUCAUACAUGCAAGUCGAGCGAACAGACGAGGAGCUUGCUCCUCUGACGUUAGCGGCGGACGGGUGAGUAACACGUGGAUAACCUACCUAUAAGACUGGGAUAACUUCGGGAAACCGGAGCUAAUACCGGAUAAUAUAUUGAACCGCAUGGUUCAAUAGUGAAAGACGGUUUUGCUGUCACUUAUAGAUGGAUCCGCGCCGCAUUAGCUAGUUGGUAAGGUAACGGCUUACCAAGGCAACGAUGCGUAGCCGACCUGAGAAGGUGAUCGGCCACACUGGAACUGAGACACGGUCCAGACUCCUACGGGAGGCAGCAGUAGGGAAUCUUCCGCAAUGGGCGAAAGCCUGACGGAGCAACGCCGCGUGAGUGAUGAAGGUCUUCGGAUCGUAAAACUCUGUUAUUAGGGAAGAACAAAUGUGUAAGUAACUAUGCACGUCUUGACGGUACCUAAUCAGAAAGCCACGGCUAACUACGUG
This 496-nucleotide ribosomal RNA is filed under the name uncultured bacterium. Its description in RNAcentral is "partial 16S ribosomal RNA". It matches the Rfam family "Bacterial small subunit ribosomal RNA", at positions 29 to 507 of the family's 1533-position model. The record is from RNAcentral.